Molecule: non-coding RNA, 1665 nt
Organism: Sesamum indicum (sesame)
Lineage: Eukaryota; Viridiplantae; Streptophyta; Magnoliopsida; Lamiales; Pedaliaceae
Source: RefSeq, a predicted model, not a curated record
UCUAAUUUUCUUUUACAUUUGGUUGGGUUAGUUCUGAAGUUACUACCACUUGUAAAUGCUUGUCAAGUUAAAUAUUGUCAGUUGUUCAGAAAAAGUAAAUUGUCGCUGUUUUUCAUUGUGAAUCCUAAAAUUGCUCUUUCCUUGGCCAUACUUUUUCAAUAUUAUAACUAUUUUGACUGUUGAGUAGUCAAGUGUCUUUUAAAGCUUUAAACCACCAAAGAAUAACCAAAAAAUACGAUUAGUUCCUCUUAACGGCACCUUUCAUUGUCUUGUUUCCUAAUGGCACCUUUUAUUGUCUUGUUGUAGUGCACGAACUGAAGAUCACGAAGAUUCUUGUACGACAUGCGGAGGCAGUUAAUAGCAGACUUUUCGUGGUAAGUUGUUUGGGUGUUGUGCUUGGUGUGUGAGGAUGGGCAUAAAAAUUAGUCUUCUGAUCUAUCUUGUGUGCUUGUCAUUUCUCUUUUUGCAGCCCAUUCUAGGACAUCUUUGUAAUCAUCUUAGAGUGCACAAGAGAUAACCAGUAUUUGUUGCAUCAUUUGUGCUGCCACUAAUACAGAAUUGACAUGGAGGGUGGCAUUUCUGAGAACGAAAAGAGAGUUGCAGUGUAAAACCUGGGAAUGUAAAAUAGGGAUGCCCAACAAUUUGAUUCUAUUGCUUUUUUAGAUUGAGGAACACCACCUCCUAUUAGUACACUAGAAGAGGAGUCAGCGUAGCACGAACUUUAUGUUGUCAAAAUCAUGUAAUACUUGUAGCACUAGUGAUGGUCUGUUUGGGGGGAUAAAUCAUGCGGAUAAACAGAAACUACAAAAACUUUUCCCAUUGUUGUUGGAUUUAGACGUAUAAGAUGCUAGAAAAUGAUGAUUUGACGGGAGGAUAAGUAUCUCUCGGCUCCUUUGAGUUAUUUGGAUUAACAUUUUAUAAAAUUUUCCAUUGAUCAUUAGAAAAUAGAAACAAGCAGGUAUGCUUAGUCAAGAGUCCGUAAGAAAUUCUAGGUAUGUGGUUGUUGGACAAUACCAUGCAAUGCAAUGCUUAGUCCUGCCGCUGUUUUGCAUUGUGUGUCCUAAAUUGUUGUUUUCUUGGGCAUACUUUUUGAAUAUUAACUCUUUUGAGUGUUGAGCAAUCAAGGACUUGUCUUUUAAAGCUUAAACCACUGAAGGAUAUGAUUAAUUUAACGGCACCUUUUGUUGACUUAUUGUAGUCAAGGAACUGAAGAAGAAGAAGAUUCUUGUACGAGAUGCGGAGACAGUUACUAGCUCAUACCAUACAUUUCAUGUGUUGCGAUCUUUUGUGGUAAGUUGUUCGGGUGUCAUGUUAUAAAUACAUGACCUCUUUGUGCUUGGCGUGUGAGGAUGGGCAUAAAAAUUAGUCUUUGGAUCUUGUAUACUUCUCAUUUCUCUUUUUGCAGCAAAUUCUAGUACAUCUUUGUAAGCAUCAUGCUGUUUGUACAAUAAUAGGACUAUGUUGUUGAGUUGCAGUUGCUAAGACCAACCUAAUCCAUCUGAUGACAGCCUAAUCCAUCUGAUGAUUUGAAAUCUAAAGAGAAAAAUGAAGAGAGAAGAUGCAACAUUAAAGCUGACAAAAUCAGUGAUUUAAAUGUAACCAAACAGGAAUUGAAGCUUUUCAUGGAAAUGUAUUGGCACCAAAUGGUGGAUUCAAGGUUAGCAU